UUUGGUGUCCUUGUGUGGCUCUUGCAGAUUUCGGCAGAUCUCAGAAGUUAAGUAAGGUCGGGCCUGGUUAGUGCUUGAAUGGGAGACCGCAGGGACUACCAGGUGCCACAG
This 111-nucleotide ribosomal RNA is filed under the name Periophthalmus magnuspinnatus. The record is from RNAcentral. Lineage: Eukaryota; Metazoa; Chordata; Actinopteri; Gobiiformes; Gobiidae.